This is a long non-coding RNA of Halichondria panicea, 628 nucleotides long. RefSeq lists it as uncharacterized. Lineage: Eukaryota; Metazoa; Porifera; Demospongiae; Suberitida; Halichondriidae. The record is from RefSeq and is a predicted model, not a curated record. The transcript has 3 exons.
AAAAAUCGGGCGCAAAGCGCCCUCUUUCAUUUAUGAUGGCACCCCUUUCUCCAAAAUCCUGGCUACGCCCCUGAGGCACAUGGGCAGUCAGGGGUAUAAUAGUCUGUUGGUUACCCGAGGAGUGCAUGGACAGUCACGGGUAUAUAUUGUAUAGUCGUUGGUUUAUUCAGGGCACUGUUACAGCCACGUGGAUACGUAAUUAUUUAUUUUCAUGGGAAAGGACUCCAGGUUUCUUUGCUGAUCCCCACUAGCUGCAUGUCAGCUUGCAUGGUGUCCUACUUUUUAACACUUCAGGCCUGCUCUAGCUGCUGUGAUCCAAAUAACGGUCUAGGACUCUCAGAGUGCAUUUCAGGUGCAUGGUACCCCAAUGUUGGCAAGAGCUCCACCAUCAAUGCCCUCAUUCAGUGCAAGAAGGUCGCCACUCCAUGGAGACUAAACACUUUCAGUUUUCACUUUCUACUAUUGGUAUACCUCUUUGCUGCUACUAUGAACACCACAACACCUGCGACUGAGAUCACAAUGUUCACCAGGAAAUAAACCGGAGAAGCUGUGUGUAGCUUAUGGCUGUAGGACUAAUAGUGAGCUCACUAAAACACCUAACCUAGGAGUAUGUCAUAAUCGUUACGUA